GAUUUACAUUUGAGUGAGUGGCGAACUGGUGAGUAACACGUGGGAAACCUGCCCAGAAGCGGGGGAUAACACCUGGAAACAGAUGCUAAUACCGCAUAACAACUUGGACCGCAUGGUCCGAGCUUGAAAGAUGGCUUUGGCUAUCACUUUUGGAUGGUCCCGCGGCGUAUUAGCUAGAUGGUGGGGUAACGGCUCACCAUGGCAAUGAUACGUAGCCGACCUGAGAGGGUAAUCGGCCACAUUGGGACUGAGACACGGCCCAAACUCCUACGGGAGGCAGCAGUAGGGAAUCUUCCACAAUGGACGAAAGUCUGAUGGAGCAACGCCGCGUGAGUGAAGAAGGGUUUCGGCUCGUAAAACUCUGUUGUUAAAGAAGAACAUAUCUGAGAGUAACUGUUCAGGUAUUGACGGUAUUUAACCAGAAAGCCACGGCUAACUACGUGCCAGCAGCCGCGGUAAUACGUAGGUGGCAAGCGUUGUCCGGAUUUAUUGGGCGUAAAGCGAGCGCAGGCGGUUUUUUAAGUCUGAUGUGAAAGCCUUCGGCUCAACCGAAGAAGUGCAUCGGAAACUGGGAAACUUGAGUGCAGAAGAGGACAGUGGAACUCCAUGUGUAGCGGUGAAAUGCGUAGAUAUAUGGAAGAACACCAGUGGCGAAGGCGGCUGUCUGGUCUGUAACUGACGCUGAGGCUCGAAAGUAUGGGUAGCAAACAGGAUUAGAUACCCUGGUAGUCCAUACCGUAACGAUGAAUGCUAAGUGUUGGCAGGGUUUCCCGCCCUUUCAGUGCUGCAGCUAACGCAUUAAGCAUUCCGCCUGGGGAGUACGGCCGCAAGGCUGAAACUCAAAGGAAUUGACGGGGGCCCGCACAAGCGGUGGAGCAUGUGGUUUAAUUCGAAGCUACGCGAAGAACCUUACCAGGUCUUGACAUACUAUGCAAAUCUAAGAGAUUAGACGUUCCCUUCGGGGACAUGGAUACAGGUGGUGCAUGGUUGUCGUCAGCUCGUGUCGUGAGAUGUUGGGUUAAGUCCCGCAACGAGCGCAACCCUUAUUAUCAGUUGCCAGCAUUAAGUUGGGCACUCUGGUGAGACUGCCGGUGACAAACCGGAGGAAGGUGGGGAUGACGUCAAAUCAUCAUGCCCCUUAUGACCUGGGCUACACACGUGCUACAAUGGAUGGUACAACGAGUUGCGAACUCGCGAGAGUAAGCUAAUCUCUUAAAGCCAUUCUCAGUUCGGAUUGUAGGCUGCAACUCGCCUACAUGAAGUCGGAAUCGCUAGUAAUCGCGGAUC
This 1287-nucleotide ribosomal RNA is filed under the name Lactiplantibacillus plantarum. RNAcentral's name for it is "bacterial SSU rRNA". It matches the Rfam family "Bacterial small subunit ribosomal RNA", at positions 76 to 1350 of the family's 1533-position model. The record is from RNAcentral. Lineage: Bacteria; Bacillati; Bacillota; Bacilli; Lactobacillales; Lactobacillaceae.